This 506-nucleotide ribosomal RNA is filed under the name uncultured bacterium. RNAcentral's name for it is "partial 16S ribosomal RNA". It matches the Rfam family "Bacterial small subunit ribosomal RNA", at positions 29 to 523 of the family's 1533-position model. The record is from RNAcentral.
AUUGAACGCUGGCGGCAGGCCUAACACAUGCAAGUCGGACGGUAGCACAGAGGAGCUUGCUCCUCGGGUGACGAGUGGCGGACGGGUGAGUAAUGUCUGGGGAUCUGCCCGAUAGAGGGGGAUAACCACUGGAAACGGUGGCUAAUACCGCAUAACGUCGCAAGACCAGAGAGGGGGACCUUCGGGCCUCUCACUAUCGGAUGAACCCAGAUGGGAUUAGCUAGUAGGCGGGGUAACGGCCCACCUAGGAGACGAUCCCUAGCUGGUAUGGGAGGAUGACAAGCCACACUGGAACUGAGACACGGUCCAGACUCCUACGGGAGGCAGCAGUGGGGAAUAUUGCACAAUGGGCACAAGCCUGAUGCAGCCAUGCCGCGUGUAUGAAGAAGGCCUUCGGGUUGUAAAGUACUUUCAGCGGGGAGGAAGGCGAUAAGGUUAAUAACCUUGUCGAUUGACGUUACCCGCAGAAGAAGCACCGGCUAACUCCGUGCCAGCAGCCGCCGUAA